RNAcentral lists this ribosomal RNA (433 nucleotides) under uncultured bacterium. Its description in RNAcentral is "partial 16S ribosomal RNA". It matches the Rfam family "Bacterial small subunit ribosomal RNA", at positions 29 to 507 of the family's 1533-position model. The record is from RNAcentral.
AACGAACGCUGGCGGCAUGCCUAACACAUGCCAGUCGAACGAGACCUUCGGGUCUAGUGGCGCACGGGUGCGUAACGCGUGGGAACCUGCCCUUAGGUUCGGAAUAACUCCCCGAAAGGGGUGCUAAUACCGGAUAAUGUCUUCGGACCAAAGAUUUAUCGCCUUUGGAUGGGCCCGCGUUGGAUUAGCUAGUUGGUAGGGUAAAAGCCUACCAAGGCGACGAUCCAUAGCUGGUCUGAGAGGAUGAUCAGCCACACUGGGACUGAGACACGGCCCAGACUCCUACGGGAGGGAGCAGUGGGGAAUAUUGGACAAUGGGCGAAAGCCUGAUCCAGCAAUGCCGCGUGAGUGAUGAAGGCCUUAGGGUUGUAAAGCUCUUUUACCCGGGAUGAUAAUGACAGUACCGGGAGAAUAAGCGCCGGCUAACUCCGUG